UCCCUGGUGGUCCAGUGGGUAAGACUCUGCACUCCCAAUGCAGGGGGCCUGGGUUCAAUCCCCAGUCAGGGAA
Non-coding RNA from Aethalodelphis obliquidens (Pacific white-sided dolphin), 73 nucleotides. Lineage: Eukaryota; Metazoa; Chordata; Mammalia; Artiodactyla; Delphinidae. The record is from the annotation of a RefSeq genome assembly.